Molecule: unclassified non-coding RNA, 220 nt
Filed under: plant metagenome
Description: partial contains small subunit ribosomal RNA, internal transcribed spacer 1, and 5.8S ribosomal RNA
Source: RNAcentral
UUUCCGUAGAUGAACCUGCGGAAGGAUCAUUACAGAGUUCACGCCCUCACGGGUAGAUCUCCCACCCUUGAAUAUUUAUACCUUAGUUGCUUUGGCAGGCCGUGGAAACACCAUGGGCUCCGGCUUAUGCGUGCCUGCCAGAGGAAACAAACUCUGUUUUUAGUGAUGUCUGAGUACUAUAUAAUAGUUAAAACUUUCAACAACGGAUCUCUUGGUUCUG